RNAcentral lists this small RNA (127 nucleotides) under Marmota monax (woodchuck). The record is from RNAcentral. Lineage: Eukaryota; Metazoa; Chordata; Mammalia; Rodentia; Sciuridae.
GCCAGGAGUGGUGGCGAAUACCUGUAAUUCCAGCAACUUGGGAGGCUGAGGCGGGAGAAUCACAAGUUUGAGGCUAGCCUCAGCAACUUGUUGAGGUCCUAAGCAACUUAGUGAGACCCUGUCUCAA